This 497-nucleotide ribosomal RNA is filed under the name uncultured bacterium. RNAcentral's name for it is "partial 16S ribosomal RNA". It matches the Rfam family "Bacterial small subunit ribosomal RNA", at positions 28 to 507 of the family's 1533-position model. The record is from RNAcentral.
GACGAACGCUGGCGGCGUGCCUAAUACAUGCAAGUUGAGCGAUGAAGAUUGGUGCUUGCACCAAUUUGAAGAGCAGCGAACGGGUGAGUAACGCGUGGGGAAUCUGCCUUUGAGCGGGGGACAACAUUUGGAAACGAACGCUAAUACCGCAUAAUAACUUUAAACAUAAGUUUUAAGUUUGAAAGAUGCAAUUGCAUCACUCAAAGAUGAUCCCGCGUUGUAUUAGUUAGUUGGUGAGGUAAAGGCUCACCAAGGCGAUGAUACAUAGCCGACCUGAGAGGGUGAUCGGCCACAUUGGGACUGAGACACGGCCCAAACUCCUACGGGAGGCAGCAGUAGGGAAUCUUCGGCAAUGGACGAAAGUCUGACCGAGCAACGCCGCGUGAGUGAAGAAGGUCUUCGGAUCGUAAAACUCUGUUGGUAGAGAAGAACGUUGGUGAGAGUGGAAAGCUCAUCAAGUGACGGUAACUACCCAGAAAGGGACGGCUAACUACGUG